Molecule: ribosomal RNA, 291 nt
Filed under: uncultured bacterium
Lineage: Bacteria
Description: partial 16S ribosomal RNA
Rfam family: Bacterial small subunit ribosomal RNA
Source: RNAcentral
CCUACGGGAGGCAGCAGUGAGGAAUAUUGGUCAAUGGCCGGAAGGCUGAACCAGCCAAGCCGCGUGAAGGAGGAAGGCGCCAAGCAUUGUAAACUUCUUUUGUCAAGGGACAAAAUCAGGCUCGAGAGCGUGACUGAGGGUACUUGAAGAAAAAGCAUCGGCUAACUCCGUGCCAGCAGCCGCGGUAAUACGGAGGAUGCGAGCGUUAUCCGGAUUCAUUGGGUUUAAAGGGUGCGCAGGCGGACCGUUAAGUCAGCGGUAAAAUCGCGGGGCUCAACCCCGGCGAGCCGU